CCAGCAGAGGGCGAUGGAGACCAUCCCUGGCUGGAUCACCUCCACCCCGGAGGCCCUUCACUGCCUUCACCACCCAGACAGAAGGUUCCCUCGUGAUCGGGGCGGUUUCCUUGGCACCAGCUGGCACCAGUGUAGGAGUCUCAUGAAAUGAGGGACGUUGCCUGCCCGAGUCUCUGGGACCAGCGCCUGGCAUGAGGUAGGAACGAUAUCCUGUAAUCCUCGUUCGUAUUAAUACAGCGUAUUAAUCACACAGCGCGUCUCUAAGCACCUGAGCCAAACAAGUGUUUGAAUUCAUCCAUGGAAGUGAACACAGGCCCACCAGCCAGGGAUGGGCCUCAGAGGGCAGUGAGACCACUCUGCCCUGAAAUCACGCCAGGACGCGCACAUUCUAAACGCCGUGGUCGGCACUGC
This 411-nucleotide long non-coding RNA is filed under the name Bos indicus x Bos taurus (hybrid cattle). RNAcentral describes it as "lncRNA (ENSBIXG00000008083.1)". The record is from RNAcentral. Lineage: Eukaryota; Metazoa; Chordata; Mammalia; Artiodactyla; Bovidae.